This 253-nucleotide ribosomal RNA is filed under the name uncultured prokaryote. Its description in RNAcentral is "partial 16S ribosomal RNA". It matches the Rfam family "Bacterial small subunit ribosomal RNA", at positions 524 to 776 of the family's 1533-position model. The record is from RNAcentral.
UACGUAGGCAGCAAGCGUUGUUCGGAAUUACUGGGCGUAAAGCGUGCGUAGACGGUUUCGUAAGUCGGGUGUGAAAUCCCCGGGCUCAACCUGGGAACUGCGCUUGUGACUGCAAGGCUAGAGUCUGUCAGAGGGGGGUGGAAUUCCACGUGUAGCAGUGAAGUGCGUAGAGAUGUGGAGGAACACCGAUGGCGAAGGCAGCCCCCUGGGAUAAGACUGACGCUCAUGUACGAAAGCGUGGGGAGCAAACAGG